CGGUGUUGGACCGGGUCUCAAGACGUCGGAAAGGAUGGCACAAUCAAGUGACCGGUUUAUUAACUCGGUUGUUCACUACAAGAGCGUUGCUAACCUCGUCGCCGUACCGCGUGUUAGUGGUUAUUAAUUGUUUAAUCCAUUGUUCUUUCAACGUACAAUUGCAAAAACAAUAAAUGUAUUACAUGUACUUUGAAAAACAAUG
This 202-nucleotide long non-coding RNA is filed under the name Mytilus galloprovincialis (Mediterranean mussel). The record is from RNAcentral. Lineage: Eukaryota; Metazoa; Mollusca; Bivalvia; Mytilida; Mytilidae.